GUAACAGGAAGAAGCUUGCUUCUUUGCUGACGAGUGGCGGACGGGUGAGUAAUGUCUGGGAAACUGCCUGAUGGAGGGGGAUAACUACUGGAAACGGUAGCUAAUACCGCAUAACGUCGCAAGACCAAAGAGGGGGACCUUCGGGCCUCUUGCCAUCGGAUGUGCCCAGAUGGGAUUAGCUAGUAGGUGGGGUAACGGCUCACCUAGGCGACGAUCCCUAGCUGGUCUGAGAGGAUGACCAGCCACACUGGAACUGAGACACGGUCCAGACUCCUACGGGAGGCAGCAGUGGGGAAUAUUGCACAAUGGGCGCAAGCCUGAUGCCGCCAUGCCGCGUGUAUGACGAAGGCCUUCGGGUUGUAAAGUACUUUCAAGCGGGGGAGGAAGGGAGUAAAGUUAAUACCUUUGCUCAUUGACGUUACCCGCAGAAGAAGCACCGGCUAACUCCGUGCCAGCAGCCGCGGUAAUACGGAGGGUGCAAGCGUUAAUCGGAAUUACUGGGCGUAAAGCGCACGCAGGCGGUUUGUUAAGUCAGAUGUGAAAUCCCCGGGCUCAACCUGGGAACUGCAUCUGAUACUGGCAAGCUU
RNAcentral lists this ribosomal RNA (587 nucleotides) under uncultured Pseudomonadota bacterium. RNAcentral's name for it is "bacterial SSU rRNA". It matches the Rfam family "Bacterial small subunit ribosomal RNA", at positions 69 to 643 of the family's 1533-position model. Lineage: Bacteria; Pseudomonadati; Pseudomonadota. The record is from RNAcentral.